This 332-nucleotide unclassified non-coding RNA is filed under the name soil metagenome. RNAcentral describes it as "partial contains 5.8S ribosomal RNA, internal transcribed spacer 2, and large subunit ribosomal RNA". The stretch from base 1 to 120 matches the Rfam family "5.8S ribosomal RNA", at positions 35 to 154 of the family's 154-position model. The record is from RNAcentral.
GAUGAAGAACGUAGCAAAAUGCGAUAAGUAAUGUGAAUUGCAGAAUUCAGUGAAUCAUCGAAUCUUUGAACGCACAUUGCGCCCGCCAGUAUUCUGGCGGGCAUGCCUGUUCGAGCGUCAUUUCAACCCUCAAGCACAGCUUGGUGUUAGGACUCGCGUUAAUUCGCGUUCCCCAAAUUGAUUGGCGGUCACGUCGAGCUUCCAUAGCGUAGUAGUAAAACCCUCGUUACUGGUAAUCGUCGCGGCCACGCCGUUAAACCCCAACUUCUGAAUGUUGACCUCGGAUCAGGUAGGAAUACCCGCUGAACUUAAGCAUAUCAAUAAGCGGAGGA